This 94-nucleotide ribosomal RNA is filed under the name Lejeunea cancellata. Its description in RNAcentral is "partial 5.8S ribosomal RNA". It matches the Rfam family "5.8S ribosomal RNA", at positions 63 to 154 of the family's 154-position model. From Rfam's summary of the family: 5.8S ribosomal RNA (5.8S rRNA) is a component of the large subunit of the eukaryotic ribosome. It is transcribed by RNA polymerase I as part of the 45S precursor that also contains 18S and 28S rRNA. The record is from RNAcentral. Lineage: Eukaryota; Viridiplantae; Streptophyta; Jungermanniopsida; Porellales; Lejeuneaceae.
UAGUGUGAAUUUGCAGAAUUCCGCGAAUCAUCGAGUUUUUGAACGCAAGUUGCGCCCGAGGCUUGUCUGAGGGCAUGCCUGCCUGAGCGUCCGC